Molecule: ribosomal RNA, 253 nt
Filed under: uncultured bacterium
Lineage: Bacteria
Description: partial 16S ribosomal RNA
Rfam family: Bacterial small subunit ribosomal RNA
Source: RNAcentral
GACGGAGGAUGCAAGCGUUAUCCGGAAUGAUUGGGCGUAAAGCGUCCGCAGGUGGCAGUUCAAGUCUGCUGUCAAAGACCGGGGCUUAACUUCGGAAAGGCAGUGGAAACUGAACAGCUAGAGUAUGGUAGGGGCAGAGGGAAUUCCUGGUGUAGCGGUGAAAUGCGUAGAUAUCAAGAGGAACACCUGAGGCGAAGGCGGGCUACUGGGCUGAUACUGACGCUGAGGCGCGAAAGCUAGGGGAGCAAACGGG